UGAGGGAAUAUUUGGGGUCAAUGGGCGCAGGCCUGAACCAGCCAAGUCGCGUGAGGGAGGACGGUCCUACGGAUUGUAAACCUCUUUUGUCGGGGAGUAACGUGCGGGACGGGUCCCGUAUUGAGAGUACCCGAAGAAAAGCAUCGGCUAACUCCGUGCCAGCAGCCGCGGUAAUACGGAGGAUGCGAGCGUUAUCCGGAUUCAUUGGGUUUAAAGGGUGCGUAGGCGGCUUGGUAAGUCAGCGGUGAAAUUCCAGUGCUCAACAUUGGCCGUGCCGUUGAUACUGCUGGGCUUGAAUGCGGAUGCCGUGGGAGGAAUGUGUGGUGUAGCGGUGAAAUGCAUAGAUAUCACACAGAACACCGAUUGCGAAGGCAUCUCACGAAUCCGCAAUUG
RNAcentral lists this ribosomal RNA (393 nucleotides) under uncultured Porphyromonas sp. Its description in RNAcentral is "bacterial SSU rRNA". It matches the Rfam family "Bacterial small subunit ribosomal RNA", at positions 354 to 742 of the family's 1533-position model. Lineage: Bacteria; Pseudomonadati; Bacteroidota; Bacteroidia; Bacteroidales; Porphyromonadaceae. The record is from RNAcentral.